This 253-nucleotide ribosomal RNA is filed under the name uncultured bacterium. Its description in RNAcentral is "partial 16S ribosomal RNA". It matches the Rfam family "Bacterial small subunit ribosomal RNA", at positions 524 to 776 of the family's 1533-position model. The record is from RNAcentral.
UACGGAGGGGGCUAGCGUUGUUCGGAAUUACUGGGCGUAAAGCGCACGUAGGCGGCUUUGUAAGUUAGAGGUGAAAGCCCGGGGCUCAACCCCGGAAUUGCCUUUAAGACUGCAUCGCUAGAAUUGUGGAGAGGUAAGUGGAAUUCCGAGUGUAGAGGUGAAAUUCGUAGAUAUUCGGAAGAACACCAGUGGCGAAGGCGACUUACUGGACACAUAUUGACGCUGAGGUGCGAAAGCGUGGCGAGCAAACAGG